CCUACGGGUGGCAGCAGUAGGGGAUAUUGCUCAAUGGGGGGAACCCUGAUGCAGCGACGCCGCGUGGGUGAUGGAGCUUUUCGGCUCGUAAAGCCCUAUCGGUAGAGAAGAUGGUGGAGGGUACCUAACUAUAAAGCCCCGCCUAACUACGUGCCAGCAGCCGCGGUAAUAGGGAGGGGGCAAGCGUUCUCCGGAUUUACUGGCGGUAAAGGGGGCGCAGACGGGAGAGAAAGCCAGGUGUGAAAGCCUGGGGCCUAACAACGGGACUGCUUUUGGAACUGUGCGGCUGGAGUGUGGGAGGGGUAGGUGGAAUUCUUGGUGUAGGGGUAAAAUGCGUAGAGAUCAAGAGGAAUACUGGUGGCGAAGGCGGCCUGCUGGA
This 379-nucleotide ribosomal RNA is filed under the name uncultured bacterium. Its description in RNAcentral is "partial 16S ribosomal RNA". It matches the Rfam family "Bacterial small subunit ribosomal RNA", at positions 338 to 733 of the family's 1533-position model. The record is from RNAcentral.